UUUCAGGAGAUGACCCAUUCAUGGCCCCCACCGUUAUCAGCUAUUCAUACACCAGGAAAGGCAGAACAAAGCAAGUUUCCCUUCCCAAACAAGGAGUCACAACAGGGAUCUACAGGACACAGCAAUACAAGGAAAAGUGAUGUAGAGCCAAAGAGUCCAGAGAAAAACGCAACCCAUGCAUCGUAAGUCACUUUUGCAUUUAAGAUCGGAGAAGGCAGCUGUGUUUUUAUCAGAUUUGUUGGGCA
Long non-coding RNA from Falco peregrinus (peregrine falcon), 245 nucleotides. RefSeq lists it as uncharacterized. The transcript is spliced from 3 exons. NCBI's taxonomy places the organism in Eukaryota, Metazoa, Chordata, Aves, Falconiformes, Falconidae. The record is from RefSeq and is a predicted model, not a curated record.